Non-coding RNA from Podarcis lilfordi (Lilford's wall lizard), 78 nucleotides. The record is from the annotation of a GenBank genome assembly. NCBI's taxonomy places the organism in Eukaryota, Metazoa, Chordata, Lepidosauria, Squamata, Lacertidae.
AUCCAUGAGGGAUAGCUCAGCCAGUGGAGCAUGAGAUUCUUAACCUCGGGGUUGUGGGUUCAAGUCCCACUUUGGACA